This 1068-nucleotide ribosomal RNA is filed under the name Escherichia coli. RNAcentral describes it as "partial 23S ribosomal RNA". It matches the Rfam family "Bacterial large subunit ribosomal RNA", at positions 144 to 1251 of the family's 2925-position model. Lineage: Bacteria; Pseudomonadati; Pseudomonadota; Gammaproteobacteria; Enterobacterales; Enterobacteriaceae. The record is from RNAcentral.
CACACUAUCAUUAACUGAAUCCAUAGGUUAAUGAGGCGAACCGGGGGAACUGAAACAUCUAAGUACCCCGAGGAAAAGAAAUCAACCGAGAUUCCCCCAGUAGCGGCGAGCGAACGGGGAGCAGCCCAGAGCCUGAAUCAGUGUGUGUGUUAGUGGAAGCGUCUGGAAAGGCGCGCGAUACAGGGUGACAGCCCCGUACACAAAAAUGCACAUGCUGUGAGCUCGAUGAGUAGGGCGGGACACGUGGUAUCCUGUCUGAAUAUGGGGGGACCAUCCUCCAAGGCUAAAUACUCCUGACUGACCGAUAGUGAACCAGUACCGUGAGGGAAAGGCGAAAAGAACCCCGGCGAGGGGAGUGAAAAAGAACCUGAAACCGUGUACGUACAAGCAGUGGGAGCACGCUUAGGCGUGUGACUGCGUACCUUUUGUAUAAUGGGUCAGCGACUUAUAUUCUGUAGCAAGGUUAACCGAAUAGGGGAGCCGAAGGGAAACCGAGUCUUAACUGGGCGUUAAGUUGCAGGGUAUAGACCCGAAACCCGGUGAUCUAGCCAUGGGCAGGUUGAAGGUUGGGUAACACUAACUGGAGGACCGAACCGACUAAUGUUGAAAAAUUAGCGGAUGACUUGUGGCUGGGGGUGAAAGGCCAAUCAAACCGGGAGAUAGCUGGUUCUCCCCGAAAGCUAUUUAGGUAGCGCCUCGUGAAUUCAUCUCCGGGGGUAGAGCACUGUUUCGGCAAGGGGGUCAUCCCGACUUACCAACCCGAUGCAAACUGCGAAUACCGGAGAAUGUUAUCACGGGAGACACACGGCGGGUGCUAACGUCCGUCGUGAAGAGGGAAACAACCCAGACCGCCAGCUAAGGUCCCAAAGUCAUGGUUAAGUGGGAAACGAUGUGGGAAGGCCCAGACAGCCAGGAUGUUGGCUUAGAAGCAGCCAUCAUUUAAAGAAAGCGUAAUAGCUCACUGGUCGAGUCGGCCUGCGCGGAAGAUGUAACGGGGCUAAACCAUGCACCGAAGCUGCGGCAGCGACGCUUAUGCGUUGUUGGGUAGGGGAGCGUUCUGUAAGCCUG